This 27716-nucleotide long non-coding RNA is filed under the name Solanum tuberosum (potato). RNAcentral's name for it is "long non-coding RNA (STUB_LNC007766)". Lineage: Eukaryota; Viridiplantae; Streptophyta; Magnoliopsida; Solanales; Solanaceae. The record is from RNAcentral.
CCCCUUCAGUGAGUGCAACGAUACACGCUGUAGAAGAGCCUUUUGCUUUUGUUCUCACGUAAGCUUUCUCCAGCACCCUGAUUAGGUCUACAGAACCUUUUGGUUCAUCUUUAAUUGCAGAUAAAGAGUGAGACAUCAAUUCACGAGCAUAUAGUCCAGCAUCAAUACCAAGAUCUGCCCAUCCACCAACACCAUCAGCUACACCGAUUGCUGGUGUAAGGGUACAAAUAAAAUGAGCAUCCUCUCCACCAGUUUUUGCUUUAGCAGGAUGAGGUAGGUAAAAGGAUCCCGAGUCUAGCUGCAAGGGGAUCUUUGCUUCAGAAGAAUUAACAACAUCCACAACUUGUUCCGUGCCCUUAGAAUUAUCAGAAGACACAUUAGAAGCAGAGGCAGUUCCAGAAAAGAAACAUUCAUGGGAUAAAUUGUGAAAACCUUCCAAUCCAAAGCCUUUGUGUGGAUGGAGGUUAGUCCUCCUCUUUGCAACAUUAGUCGUGAAAUAUUGGUAAAGCAUGAAGUUAUUGGGCCGUCCUUUGUUUCCCAAACUGAUGUUAGCUUUACUAACAUUUUGAAAGCCUCUUUUGUUGUAAGAAACAGUACAACUCUUUACUGACAAACUACACUGCAGGCGCCUAGCAGUCAUAUUGCCAACGAAAUGGCCAAUAUGAGUCCUUGAACCACAAACAGCCAUUAUGCCUUUCUGAGUAUCAAUAACAAAAGUAGCUCGGGAAGCAGCAAACCUUCAAGUGCAGAGUUCUGCAAAACCACGGAAGGAAACAACAUGAGGUUACAUAAGUAGAUUGCAUUUUCUUCUUUUUAAUGGACAUAGUAGAUAAAGCAAAGUGACAAACCAAGACACACAUAACACAAGCUCCUAUAUCUCCCCUUAAAUUAAUCUUAUAAACAAAAAUUUAUACUGAGGAGAUUGUGUUAUCAUGUGCAGGCGAGAAAGUGCAAGUUGUAAAGCUUGGCAAAUAAAACCUAUUAACUUGGAAACAAAAACGUCACACGAAACACGAAUAACAAGAAAAUUGACUCAGACAAAUUAAGAACUAAAAGCACAUUCAUGAAUACAAAAUUCCGGGGAGCUCAUUAGCAGCCAAAAGUUGCAAAAGAACUUUCCAAAGUGGAACUAUUCCGACAAUAAGCUCAAAGGCAACAAGAAAACUGUCAACAGUCAACGAAAGAGUGCGACACAGUGAGGCAGAGACAGAUAAUCAAUCCUUAAGGGGCCUGAAGGAGAACUUAGAAUUUCAAUUGGUUAUUCUUCUCAAUCUCUAUGUGGAAUUCUUAAACAAAAAAUCAGAAGAAAAAAUUUACACCCUAUGUUUAUCACAAAACCCCCCCCCCCCCACACACACGCCAAGUAUGGAAGUCCCUAACCAUCAUGGGGUAAGGGUGUGGUCCUGCAACAGAUCCAAGUAUGUAGUGAGUUGUUUCAACAUUUGUAACCCAAUCCCUUAUAGCUUCUGAAGUAGCAUCCUUGAGCGUAGCAGUUCCAGAGUGGACUGCUCUAACCUGCAAUGUUAAUUUUGGGAGACGUAAUUAAAUAGAGUGAUUUGAAUGCAAUGGAAAGAUCUCUUACAAAGUAUAAGAUAAAAUUAUGUAAUCUAUCCCAAGAAUAAAGAGGGAAAAAGGAAGAAGCUUAACCAUUUACAUUUUACAGGGACGUAUAACAAAAGAAAGGCGAUGGUUCAGCGAACCACGGUCCUCAAGCCCUAAAUAGAAUAAUAGAUGGUCUUCAGAUCAAAAUAGAGGCAGGGUAAUUUUUUAAAAAAGAGAUGAAUAUAGAGGCAGUGUAGGUAAUGCAAAACAAGAAAAUCUCCGGGCAACUUCUCACUUUGCAAAUAUCUGACAGAUUCAUGUAUUUUAAAUAAGAUUUCCCCUGUCCGUCUGUAUACAUCUUAUCCUACUCCCUAAGUUCAUGGAUAUUAUUAUUCAUAUCACAUUCUGUUCUCCCCAUUUACCAAUAGUUUGCAAUCAACCUUUUGUUCAUGUACCUAUGGACCACACUUACUAAUCAUUCCUGCAAUUGAGAAUUUAUGAAUGCGAGAAAAACACAGUACAUUUACAUUGAAAUUCAUCUGUGGAACGUAGGGAAGAAAUCACAGGAUUUUAUUGAACUAGUUAGUGUCAUUGCAGAUAACCAAGCCAGUUAUUAGAAGGUGCAGAGAUUUCAGUGAAACCACAAGUUAAUCAGUGAAUCUUUAAUCAAUUUCAAUCUCUCCUCAAGUAAGCUAUGAUCAGAGCCGUCAAUUUAUAAUGUCUGAUACAGACCUCAGCUCCAAGCAGUCGCAUUCUGAAGACAUUCAAUGCUUGCCUCUCCAUAUCUUGAGCACCCAUAUAAAUAACACAGUCCAAACCAAACCAAGCACAAACAGUUGCAGUGGCAACACCAUGCUGACCAGCCCCUGUCUCGGCAAUAAUGCGUUUCUUUCCCAAGCGCUUGGCAAGCAAAGUUUGUGCAACGGCAUUAUUGAUUUUUUGGGCACCAGUGUGGUUUAAAUCUUCUCUCUUCAGGUAGAUCAUUGGCCCUUCACCAUCUGGACGUUUAUAAUGCUCAGUAAGUCGCUCAGCAAAAUAAAGAGGGCUCUCUCUGCCAACAUAAUCUCUUAAUAUCCCAUCUAGUUCCUUCUGCAGUCAGCAUAAAUGGUGUACAAACAAGUUAGAAGUUUUAUAGGGGUCAACGAUUCUUCACAAUGCCAUACAAUUGAAAUCAAUCAAUCCAUCAGCGACGCCUCAAUUCCGAAACAGUUUGGAAUCAAGCUUCUGAAUCAUCUAUAUCCCUUUCUAUCUUUUCAAGUCCAUUUCAUUCAAAAUACAACAUAAUUUCUCGUAUUACUAAGAUUAGGAGUUCGUUAAGAGAAUUCCUUUUUGAUAAGAUAACAUAAUUUUGUUGAUGUUGCGGACUACCUUAUUUACACGUGAUAUACCAAAAAACAGAGAUCAAGAGCAUAAGCUCACAAGUCAUAACUACAGCACUUUAUAUCAUAAAAAAAACUUGAAUUGUGCUAAAUUUCCAGCAAAAUUGUAGCUCCUGCAGUUUCCAAAGAAAUUAUGCUCGAGGAAGAUGCUACCAUUUACUUAAAACAUUAAAACACACACGCGCACACAACGAUAUUUGCAGUCUAAGCUAACUUACUCAAUUAUUUCAACAUGUUAACAAACACAGACUUCGAAUAUCAGAAUAUACUAGUCAACUAGUUUCAUCAUUUCAUGAUUGAAUACCAAAAAUAAUUUUUUUUUUAUUAGUUUCACUCUUCAUAUUUCGAAGGAUAAAAGUAAAGCCUGCGGUAAUGUCCAAUCAAUCAGAUCCACUCUUAUUACAGAAUGCUGAAUGCACGUCAAAAAAUAACAAUAUCAACUAAUCUCAAAUCCUAAAGUUAGCAUAGCAAGCAAAAACGGAUUCUGGAUUCAAAGUUUACGAGUUUCUAUAACAAUUUCAAGUUGAUAUACAAUAAUAAAUGGAUUCACAAUGAAAUAUUUAGUAAAAUUCUAAAUAUAUAUACUAGAUCCUCCAAUGUAGUUUAGCUAAACUAUAUAUGUAUCUUUCAUAUAUCCAUUUCAUUCAAAUAAUCGAAGAAAUGAAACAAAAUCACCAAUCCGAGAAUGCAGUUAAUCAAACACCUGAAAGUCCUGGUCUGUAGCGAGCGAAUUGAAGGCAGUUUCCAGCUCAUCGAGAGCGUGCAUUAGAGUUUCCGGUUACAUACUUACCACCGAACUUUCCAAACCAGCCAAACGAAUCGGGUCGUUGAAUGGCGGCGGCAUCCAUUGAUUUUCCGGUGAGGACACAAGCUAUGGCUGGUGGAUUGGUGGGUGAAGACGUAAUUUUGAUGAAUUUGAAGGGUAUUUGCGAUUGAGAUAAGGAGGAGAAACGGUGAGGCUUCGGUAGCGGUAGAGCUAUUUGGCUCGGUGAGGAGAAGGCCAUGUUUGGAUGAUUUAUGAAAAUAAAGCAAAUCUAGAAUCUUUGUUUUUUUAUGACACUAUAAGAGGUCAGUGGGACCCAAUUAAAAUGACGUGGAUUAUUUUGCCAUUUUUAGAAGAAAAAAAAUUGGUUGAAAAGAUGGGUGUUCGAUUCUUCGAUUUGAUUCUUUUAUUUAUAUAUAACAUAAAAAUCUAAUUUCGAGAAAGAAAAAAUCAAUAGUUAUAAUGAACUAUUGUUAUAAAGAGGUAUGAUUGUCGCACUAAACUUUUCUUCAUAUAUUCUAUUAGUAUUACCAAAUACAAGAGCCCAAAGGUAAAAUAUCGUGGAAACUUUGCUGAAUUUAUCAUCAACCUUGAUUUCGCUAUACGCUCAAUAAGAAUUUAUCAUCAACCUUGAUUUCGCUAUACGCUAAGGUGAAAAGGAAAUACAAAUAUUACAUGUUAAUGAAUUCACUACUCCCUCCUUUUAUAUACAAAACAUAACGUAACAGUAGUAGUAGGAAGAACUAGAAGUCAAUAAUUGGUUCACCAAUAGUAAGAUUCCUCUUGACAGACCAAGGCAAGUUAAAGAGCUUUGCCAUUAUGAACUUAAAGAUCUUAUUCACAUUGAUGUUAUGCGUUGAACUUGAGAAGAAAAGUGUUGCUUUCAUUGCCUUUGCAUAUGUCCUUGCUUGCAAAACACCAAUGUGCCACAUACUUAUUAUAUCAGUACAAUACGAGAUGACGGAAUGCAAUGGAAUGAGUCAGUAUGUUCAGAACAAGUGUUGUCUUAUUAAUACGUAUAUAUAGUUCGAGCUGAAUUGAUAGGGUCAGUUGAACUAAUAGAACGUGCUCUAGAUUCUAAUUUCGUUAUAUCUUACCUACUACUUUUGUUUUCUUGGUUUGUUGGGGGUGGGUGGACUCUGUGGUAGGGGACUGGAGGAUGACAAUAACUAACCCAAAAGACUAGUUCCUUUCAUCUUCUUAGUAUUUAUAAACAAAAUUAAAUUUUUCAUAUUCUUGUGAAAACGAAGUUUGCAACUAAAGCAGGAAAAUUCAGUUGAUAAUGCAAAUACCACCCCAAUAUAUGUGGGGGUCACCCGUCUUCAUUUAUGGAGAAACGAACAUUUGAGGAACUUGUUAGGAUCACAUCGCUUUCCUACUUGCACAAAGUAGAAGUGUACAAACAUGAGGAAGAAUGGUCUUUAGUGAUAUGACGAUUGAGAUGAUUACAUAUAUUAAUUAAUCACGAUUAGUGAUAGAAGGUUCUUUGAGCCGAGGGUCUUAUCAUAAACAACUUCUCUACCUCUAAGGUAGGGGUAAGGUUUGCGUACACUCUACUUUGUCUAGACCCCACUUUAUGGGACUACACUAGGUAUGUUGUUGAUUAGUGAUAGAAAGUGCAUAUAAAGGGGCGUGUUUUGUUAGUUUGGUGUGUGAGUAAGUUUUUUCUGUAACGAGUAACGACCUCUACAUUUAUAAGGCUUAAAAAACCAUUUAGAAGAAGGAAUGAAGGAAACAUUUAAGUAUAUUAUGUUGAUCAGAAUUGUACCUGUGUCACCACAGACCAUUGAAUGUCUGGUGGAAGCUGAACAAAAUCAUCAAAUUUGGUCCCAAUUAGUAUUGGAAUAGCAGUCUGUAUUUGUCAAUUAUAGAAGAAAAAGAUUAGACUUAAUUACCUUAGCUAACAAUGUUUUAAAUUCUAUAAAUCAUGUAUUAUAAUUGUUCCUUCCAUCCAUCAUUAUCAAGAACAGUAUUUGACUUCGUAAUCUUUACCAAUACAUAUUAAAUUAGUUUUCAUUGGUAAAGAACAACAGAACUUAGUGAUAAUGAUCAUCAUGAUUGUUAUUCAAUUGAUUUCUUUUAAUAGCCGUGGUGUACGGACCAACUUGGAGGCACCACGACUAAUUCCACAGGUAUGUACAAGGUAACUCUGUCUGCCAAAGUUCGGACAUAUGAGAGGAAAUCACCUAGUGUUUGAACCCGAGACCUCAUGCUUCUCAACCCCCUUUAUUGACCUCUAGACCACACCCUUAUACGCCGUUGUUCAAUUCAUUCUUCUUGAAAGUUGAAGCUAAUCAAGUUUUGCUAAUAACGACGUAUUCUGGUCAUUAAGUUUCAAUCAUUCAAAUCUAAAUGAACCAACUGAUAAAGUUAUCAUCUUCAAGAACAAAAAGUAACUAAAGUACUACCUUACUUAUUGCCAUAUGCUACUUUUUAUUCAAAAGAGUGAAAGUAGUUCCAACUACUGUCAUUACUCAGUUCCUUUCAAAACUUUACUUCAGUAUAUCAAUAAAGUCCCAACCACUAUAGUUAAGUUGCUAUUUGUACUACUUUUUCUUUUAUUUGGUGAAAUGAAUUGCUACUGGCUAGUGAAAGUCUCAUCCAACUUUUUUCUUUGUUAGUAAUAAGUAAAAGAUGAUUCUUGGUUCUAAAGUUUACUCCUUUUUUCAAGAAAACAACAUCAAAGUGAAAGAGAAGUUAAAGUUACUCACCUGAUUCCACUUUCUUGCUUCAGUAUACCAACUUAUCACACUGAAAUUGCAAAAAAAAAAGAAAAACAAAAGCUUUUAAUAACGGUGUUCAAGUUUUAUGCACUAACAAUAUAAGAAAUACGAAUAAAUCUUCUUCUUGUUUUGACAGUAUCAGAUUAAAGCUACAUACUUGUUCAAUGUACUCCGGCUAGUGAGAUCGAACAUAAAGAGAAUGGCAACAGCAUCUUUACAAGCAAUUGGAAUCUGAUCAAAUGAGCUAUGAUCACCUAUAAACCAAAAGUUUAAUUUCAAAACCGAAUUAUUCACUGCAUUGAUUAAGCUACAUUAACAACCUUAAAAGUGAAAAAAUUGGCCUAAGCAUAAUUAGCUUUCCAGAAUAAGGAAGAAAAUUAAUGAACAUACCUCCUACAUCCCAUAUUCUAAAUGCAAUUCGUGCACCUCGUACAACUAAUGUUUUAUCCAUUAAGUUCAAUCCCUUCAUCUGCAAGCACCUCUUUUCUUGUUCAUCACCUACAUACUUAAUCUGGAAAACAAAAAAUUUAAAAGUUACCAACAGUGUUAAAAAAACUGUUUCUUUGUUUAAGCAUAAGAAGUUAACAUUCUAACUCGGAAAUCAAGGGUGUGAACUCGUGAUCAAUAAAGUGGAAAAAGGCCAAUUGGGCGUGUUUGGUGGGGUGAAAAAUAUUUCCAAUUUUCUGAUGUUUGGUUAAAUAAAUUACUUUAAAAUGAUUUCUUGUGUGUUCCCCACAUUCCACCCCAUCCCAACCCCACCCCUAGAUCAUCCAAACCCCACCACCUCCCAACCCCACCCCUAGAUCAUCCAAACCCCGCCACCUCCCAACCCCACCCCUUGAUCAUCAAAAUCCCUGCCACCUCCACUCCCCACCACAUUCCAACCUGUAUAUUUUGCUAAAUAACAUAUAGUUGCUCUCGGGGUAAUAUUUUUUUUUGCUUACUUACUAAACACAAGAAAAAAAAUAAAAGAUGCACUCGUUUUCCAAGAAAACAUUUUCCUUCCUAUCAAACACACUAGAACUCAAAUUUCACUAGAAAAAAAAAUCAUCCAAAUCUUGGUGAAUAGUAUUGUUGCUCGGACUCUUCAAAAAUAGUAUUGGUGUGUCAAAUCCUAAAAAAAGCGUUUUUGGAGGAUCCAAUAUAGGUAUGUCAACAUUUUUGGAAGGUCUGAUCAACCUAGGCUCAUGAGCUACUCGAUAAUAGUCUAUAUGUUCUUAAAUUGGUCCGUACACGGGGCGGAGCUAGAGCUUCGCCUACAAGCGGUUUUUUUUUAGAAUUCAGAACUCCUAAACUCAAAAUCUUAAUUCUGUAAACAUAACAAAGUAACAUACUUAAGCUAAACAGAGAAAAUUAUGUUAAACUUACCACAAAACUUGUUUUACCAAUCUGACAAUCACCCAAAAUACUGAUCUUUAAAGUAACUAAAUCUGAAUCACUAUCAUACCCACUACAAGUUGCAGUCAAAGGAUCACCUUCUCCACCACCUACUCCAUACCCUUCAACUUCCUCCAUAGCCACCGGAGACGAUGAACUUCUUCGAGACAAACGCCGGUACCUCACCGGUUUCCGGCCAGUUGAACAAACAAUGAUUCUUUCCCAAAUAAAACGAAAAAACUCCCUAAAGAUUGAAGCUUUAUCAAAUAUCUUCCACCUAAUCUUGACUUGAACUAUUUUCCGGCAAAUAUUAGUCAUUUUUCCCGGUGAAAAAUCAUGGGUUUUCUGAGCCAUGAUGUAGAAAAUACAUAAGAACUGAUUCUGGGUUCCACAUUUUGACAGUCUUUUUCUAGUUGGAAUUUUCUGGUUGGAUUUAUUUGUGACUUUGUGAAGACGAUGACAAAUUGUUGACCGGCAUGUGUGUGUUUUUUAGGAAUGUAAAAAAGAGACGGUCCAAUUUGCCGGCCGGCGUUCUGUUUUUGAUGUAAACGUGGGUAUAUAGGUCAAUUGUUAGGCACUUGCUACAAUAUAUAGAGGUUAUAUAUAGGGGUAAAUGUUAAAAGACCGACAAAAGUCUCACAUCGUUAGUUAAUGAGAUGGGUAGACUUCUUAUAAGACUUGGGCAAUCCUCCUCUAUUUGAGCUAGUUUUUGGGGUGUGAGUUAGGCCUAAGACCUAAUCUAACAUGGUAUCAGAGCAGGGUCCGUCUCACCCGUAAUCUAACAAUCAUUUUCAUUAAGGGUAUUUUUGAAGUAUAAAAUUGUUGAGUUCGAUUCGAGGUUUGAGUAUAGAAAAAAAAAAUCAUAUUUACUUGUGUCUUUAAUAUGAAUUUAGAUUAACCAGACAAUAAAGAAGAAAAGAAUUUAGAAUUGUUGAGUUGAUUCGAGAUUUAAUUAUGAGAAAAAUUAUAUUAAUGAACAUUUUUCACUUGUAGUUGGAUAGAUAAUAAGAAAAGUGAAAGGAGAAAUAGAGAGGGAGAAAACGAAGUAUCUAGUGAGGAAGGUUUUUUUUUAGUAGAUUAGGAAUUUGAACAUAAUUUGACUUCUUAUUUGUUAAGGGUCGUUUGGUAGGUAGCCAAGUAAUUUAUUUAUGUAUUAAUUUUUGAUAACUUAGUUCGAUAGUAAUUAGUUAAGAUGUAAGUUUAUAAUUUAGAAAUUUGUGUUACAAAAUAUAAAAUAAAAUAGCUAAUACUCAUAUAAUUGAUACUUAUUCAACUAAUACAUAUAUCAUUUAGCUAGCUACUAUAUGAUCCCUUAAAAACAUAAUAAAAAAAUAACCUUAAGUAUGCUUUACAUUUUGAGUUCUAAAAAUAAAGAACUUUUUUUACCAAAAAUUACUUGAUUUAUAACAUAUAAGAUUAUUAAUAUAUUGAUUCUUCGUUGGAAAUUAAAUCCUAAUCUAAUCAAUUUUUUAACUAUUUCAUUCACCGCUAUAUCGUGGCUUUUAUGAAGCUUACCAAAUUAUUUUAUCUUAAGAUGAAAACAUACAUUAUUUAACUUAAGAGAAAUAAAUUAAUGAAAAAGAGUCAAGAUUUGAUUGGUGGAUACAGAUCAUAGGAUAUUUUAAAUUUUUUGACAUGCUAAUAACAGAAUAAAGUUAAACAAAAAAAAGCUGCAAAAUAGCAUAAGAAUGACUCAUACUUUUGUGCUUUUCCACAAAAGCAUUUUGUUAGAAUUAAUAAAGUUUAUUUAUGCUCUACUUUUUUCCCAGCUAAUCAGGUCCAUAACUUUUUUUUAGUACUUCAUAGUGUGAAUCUUGUUUUAUACUUUAACAACAAAUUUAAGUUUUGGUUUUGCACAAAGUGAGAAUAUUAUAGUCUCUGUGUUUUAAUUUAUUUGUAUUACUUUUCUUUUUAAUUAGUUUAUUUAAUAAAAAUUAUCUCUUAAUUUCAAUAUUUAACAUGACAUAGCUAGAUUAUUCAUGUUGAUCGAAACUUCUUUAAAUCUUGCUCUUUCAUUAAAAAAAAUCUCUCAAUUUAUAUUAUUGUUGUUUGCAAAUCAUCUACUCGUAUUUAUUUUUGUUUUUUUUGUUUUUCAUUCAAUGAUCGGUGUUUACAUUAGAGCCCGAUCAAAUAUGGUUUCAGGUCAGAAAGUUCCACAUUAGAGGUAAAACGUUCCCUAACAAAAAUAAUUUUCUACUCAAACUCUAAACAUCUGGUUAAAGAUGAAGAAGUACUCAUUUAUUCGUAUUUUUCCUAUUAAUAGAGUUUUGGUGUACACAAAACAAAACAAAUGGACUCUCUGUGUCCUAAUUAUUUGAAAAAUAAAAGUCCUAAUUUGUCCUUCCAACUUUAACUAUGAUUUAAAACUAGGGUAAUGCUAAAUGGCAAAAAACAUUGGUCAGAAAUUUGCCAGAAAAUUUUAAAAGUGUAUAAUAUCUUUUUUAUUUUAAAAUAAAGUGAUCUUUUUCCAUUUUUUUAAUUAAAAAAUAUGAAGUUAAAAGGAUAAAAAUGUUCAAAAAGGUAAAAUACCAUUUUGACCAAAUGUUCUGGCCAAAAGGAUUUUUCCUUAAAACUAAUACUACUAGAUUUGAGUGUUGUAGACUAAGGGCAAAAACAGAAGCGAUUAUUAGGUAUGGAGAGGUAAAUUCUGAAUUUAUAAACUUAGUUCCACCCUUGACUUUUCCCUAACGACGAUAAUAGUUAAAAUGUAGUAUAUAAACUUAUUCCUUUUUAAAAACAAUUGUAAUGAACUUCUCUAUUUUCUCUUAAAAUUUAGAAUUAUGGUAUUAUAAUUAUAAAAUUCUAGAAGCCAACACUAAUUAGCGGAUUAAACAGACAAUUGUAGAAGUCAAAUGUCUUAAUCAACUUUGUAAUGAAUAUAAAAUAAGACACAAAUUAAUUACGUGAGAUUCUUCAAUCAACCAUUAAAUAAAACUAUAUAAAAAUAAAAUAAAACUGACUUUAGUUCAUAGUUUAAUUAUCUAAAGAAAAAUAAUUCAUGCAUGUAUUAUUUUAUAAUAUAAUAAAUAUAAUUUAGGUAGAAGGCGUGACCAUGAAGAAUCCAACAUGCCACAUAUCAUUAAUUAUGUGGAUAAAAUUAAAACUGAAAACGACCUUCUAGCUAAUUGAAUGAUUAAUUAUUUAAUUUACCUAGAACAAAAAAAUAAUGAUUUGUUAAGAAUGUAUUUUAUUUUUUUUGGGUCAUGUUUGCUACUUUCAUUAAUUCAUUUAGGGUAGUAGGGGUAGGUACAUUCAAACUUCCAAAAUGGACUUUGGUUGAUAGCUAUUACAAAUUAAAUCACCUAACUUUAGAUAUUAUAAUAAAGUCAUUGUGUUGGUUGCAAUGUUUGGAACUUGAAGAAAAAUGAAAAGUUAAGUAUAGUGGUACCAAACCUAGAAGAAUGAUUUAUCAACAAUAGAUAGAUGUAUUAAUAGAAGAUUGUUGUUAUAGCUCGAUACUUAAUAUUGAUGAUCUGAAAUUGAUAAAAUAUUCAGUAGAAUAAUUAAUGUGUAUUCGAAAAUUUUAGUGAAACAUGAUUGAUUAUACGUUAUUCUUUUUUUAAUUUAGUGAUAAAUUUUAAGAUUGUAAAUUUAACGGUGAGUAUGCAUAAGAUGCUUUCAAAGACAAGACGAAAAUUACAUGUCCAAGAGCAUCAAAUAACUCUUGAAGGAGUAAAAAGACUUCACAUUGUAUGAGUUGCUCGUGCGUCAACUAUUGAAGCUUGAUACAAACCAUCAAAUGGCAUUGCAACCUUAUGCAUCGAAGUAUAAGAUAUUACAGUUCAAAAUACUUUCAUUCAAAUAAUAGUUAAAAUUAUUCUAUUUUAAAUUUAUCUCAAUGCUUCUUAAACAUUCUCAAAUAUGUCUAAAAUGUGUAAGAACAAAUUCUUGUAUUCAAACAAAUCGUUUGUGUUUUCUUUAUCUUGGUAGAUAUUUUGGUUAUAUAUAGCUAACACAAUUUCAUUGCUCCUAAUAUAUAAUAAUAGUUUACGUUAGAUUACAAUAUAUAUUAUUCUAUUUUCCUUGUAGUCUUUCAAUCAGAGUCAAAUUAUUAGGCAACAUUACUUGAUAAAUGAAAUUAAUGUAGAACAAACACGUGUAUACAAAACAAACAAAAAAAAUAAAAAUAAAGGUCACAUACACAAUCUCAUCAAUGGGGCUAGCCCCAAUAGACCGUGGCGGAGCCACCUUAUUUUGGAGUUAUAGUUAAAAUAAUUUUUUAGAUAUAUAUAAUAGAUGUCAAAUUUCUUUUGACUAUUCGUGUGUUUAUUUCUUUAGAUUUUGACUUUUCUUAUUUAAAAUUCUGGCUCUGAGCGGGUUGUGUGGUUUUCAUACUCAUAUAAGUAGAUUUAUAUUUUGCCUUUGAUAUUCUAUAUUAUUACUUCACUUAUUCUAUACAGUUUUGUAAAUAAAGCCAUAUUUUGAUGUUUUUUUAGGAUGCUUCUGCAGUAUUUUUCCAAUUUAUAUUUUGCCCUUAAUAUUGUUUUUUAUUACUUCAGUUGUUUUGUACUUUUCUGUAAAUAAAGCUACAUUUUUGUGCCUUUUAAAGAUGCUUAAAUCAUUCUUCCUUCCUUCAUUAUCUUUGUUUGCUACUGUUUAUUCCAACUUCUUAUAAUUAAUUAAUGAGAAAUGUAAAUAAUUGAUCUAAUUAAUGAGAAAUAUAAAUUUUAAAUUUAAUACUACGUUCAUGUUCAUUCCAAUUUUAGAAACAUUAUUUGACUAGAUAAAAAGUUUGAAAAAGAAAAGACGGCAUUUCAAAUUUGUAUUCUAAAACAAGUCUCUAAAAACAUAUUAAAAUUUGAUUAACUCUCCAUAUUUCACAUGUGCCAUAUAAAUUGGGAUAAUGAAAGUAAUAUAUAUUAUUUGAAAAUUACGUUAUGAAUAUUAUAAAUCACAACUUAUAGUAUUUAAAAACAUAUCAAAAAACAUAUCAAAAAUUGAUUAACUCUCGAAAUUUCACAAGUGUCACAUGUAAAUUGGGAUAGGAAAUAACAAAGGGUGUGUUUGGUAUGAAGCCAAAAAAAUAUUAUGUCAAGAGAAUUUAUAUAUUAUCUAGUAAAAUAAUAUGAAUUUCCCAAGAUAUAAUAUUGUAUGAUAUUAUAUGGAAAAAUCCUUUUGGUCAGAAUGGUAAAAUAACAUAUUUCACACUAUGUUGUUUUACCUUUUUGAACAUUUUUACACUUUUAACUUUACGACCCUUUCAUUAAAAAGUGGAAAAAAGAUCAGUUUAUUUUAAAAUAAAAGGAUAUUAUAAACUUUUAAAUUUCUGGCCAAAUUUUCUGGUCAUUUAGCAUUACCCGAUAUUAUAUAUUGAGAAACAUAACGUAAUAUUUAUGUUGGACCUUACAUCAUUGAAAAUUUCAAAUUUUAUGCAUAAAUCACAUUUACUCCAUGCGUUUUAUGCUUUAGUUAAGGAUUUUCGCUGCAUUUCCUUGUUUGUCCUCUUAAUUGCAUUAAUUGAAUUCAUUGCAUAUAUUUCACCACUUAUAUUAUACAAGAACUUUACUUUAUUGCAUAUAUUUCACCACUUUAUUAAUUUAUUCUCACAUAAAUACACAUACAUUUAAUAACUUUACUAUGCCAAAUUUAAUAACCAAUUAAUAUAGAUUUAGAGAUUGUUUUAUAUCUUGCUAUUUUUGUUAUCAUUUUUUUUAUAAUUUUGCGUCGAAUACUUUCUCUUUUGUGUUGAGGGUCCAUCGGAUACACUUUCUACCUCAAAAAGGUUGGGACAAGGAUUGUAUACAUUCUACCCUACUCAAACCAUACUUGUGAGAUUACACUUGAUAUGUUAUUAAUUGUUGUUAUUACUUAGCUUAUAUACUUCUUAAUAUAUAUAGUUACAAAGAUUGUUUUGUUUCUUGCUAUUUUGUUAUUUCUUUUGUUAUAAUUCUGUGUUGGAUAGUUCCCUUUUGAAUCGAGAGUCCUUCAGAAACAACUUCUCUACCUCAUUAAGGUAGAAAUAAUGUAUGUGUACAUCUUACAUCUAUGGGAUGUAAUCUUGACAAAAAAAUAAAAGUAGGUCAAAAAAAUUUAUAUGUAAUAUUAACAAAACACGAUGGGGUGAAAUGUGGGCGUUAGUGAACUUUGUGUUUGAGCUAAUUUGCAUAGCUCACACAUCAUUGGUCUCAAGCCUGAAUAAAGAAAGAACGGUCGCAAUAAACUUUAUGAUAGUCUUAAAAUCAUCAUGAAAUAUUAGUCAAUUUUAUGAUAAAUAUUUAUAUAUAAUACAUACAUUUUUUUUAAAGAAAUAUCUGAAUUUUGUUCUAGCUGAAAAUUUUCCACUGGUAGUAUAACUUCCUAAUUUCUUUAUUCCCAAGUUGUAUAUCAUUUACAAAUUUAAUUGUAUGGACUUUGUUGCUUGUGGCAUAGAUAUCGUUGCCGUUAAUCAAUAUACCUUAGGUAAAAAUAUUUAACUAGAGACAACCUACUUGUAGGUUGAUGAAAAAAAAAUUUAGCGAUUAAUCUGAGUUGUGGCGGGAUGGUCAAAAUUUAUUUAUUUUGACUAGUGAUAUCGGUUUGAUCUAUUUUGAAAUGGAAAUAGAAUUCCAUUGAAAGCACUGCUCUCAAAAAUAGACUCUAUAAUAUGUGAAUUCAAAUCCAGUCGACCCAAUACAAAUAUCAUAUAUUAAUCGAGAAAAAAAAAGAAUCUUUUUACAUUGAUUAGUAAAAUUAUGAAUAUAAUAAUUAUUAGUUAUAUACUUAUAAGAAAUGGAAUGAUGAAUAUUUUAUGGCCAACACUAAUAUAUGCAACAAAUAGCUAGGUACUAAUCUAAUUAAUGAUGUUUACUAAAUACAUGGAUCUUAAUUAUCUUGCAGGACUAGUUGGUUGUGUAACAAUUUGAAAUUCACACUAUUAAUUUUCUUUUUUGGUAAUAGUAGUUGUCAAUAAUUUUUAUUUUCUUAUAAGUAUCUUGAUGACGGUUCCAAAUUUAUUAUUAAAUAAACCAUCAACAUAUUUUGAUUAGAGACAAUUCUUCUCGUAUAAAUAAUGAUGUUCGAGUCAGCUAAUCUGAACUUCUAUUUUAUUAGGGAAAAUGUUUUUUUUAAUGGAAUCACUACUCAAAACACGUAAAUUUCCAAGGGAAAGCCCGUUGGAAUAGGUCUCUUUAUAACAUUUUUAAAUAAAAACACUUAAUUAUAACAAUUAGUUUUUUCGAAACUGAUUUUUUAUGUUAUAUUUUAUCUUUCUAUAAGAUCACCGAUAAUAGCUUUAGAAAUACCGAUCAAAUAUUUUGAUACUUUAUUAUAUUAUAUGACAAAGAAUAUUAUAUGAAUAUAAAUUUCUAUCAUUAAAAUUUUUUCCUUUAUUUACAUAAAAUGUGAUAUUAAUUAAGCUACAUUAAAAUUCGUACAUGCAUAAAAUUAAAAAAAUGAAAAUUUUAAUUUUAUGUUUCUUUUUUACCUAUAAUAGCCAAAUAUUAUUAUAAUAAUUGUAUAUCAAAUGAUUUUUAUAGCAACCAAAAGUUUUCAAAACAAACGAUAUUGUUAUAGAGAUAGUUCGAGAGAAGGCCCAAAAUAGUCCCUCAUCUUUGAGUUAAGACUCAAAGUCAUCCUUGAGUUUUCACAUAGAGCACUAAUAGUCCCUCAUGUUUGCAAUAUUGGUGCAUUUUUUGUCCUCCCCUAAAUUUUUGCCUAUUUUUUAACAUUAACUUUGUUUAUAAUUUUAUGCAAGGAAUGUCCCAUCAUCUUUUUUAUGUAUUUAAUAGAAAUAAUAACUUCAUGUGAGAGAUUGUGAGAAGAAAAACACCUUGUUUUGUUUAGUAGAAAUCGUAUUGCAGGUAAAGUCGAGAGGUUCAUCACGACGAUUUUACGUGCAAUAGUACAAAUUUGCAAUGUCAUAUGUUAAAAUGUUCUUAGUUUAGCUACAGUAAUAUUUAUAUUGAAUAGAACAAGGUGUUCUUCAUCUCACCUUUAUUUUAGAUAUUUUAUUUGUGUCUAAUUGUGAUUCACAAGUCACGCCAUGCAUAUAAUUUGUUAUUUAAAUGGAAGAUUCGUAAAUUAAUUAUGAAAGAUAAGGGAUAAAUUCAAAAAUAUCUUGUUUUAUUCAUAUAGUUUGUUAUUUAAGUGGAAGAUUCGUAAAUUAAUUGUGAAAGACAAGGGAUAAAUUAAACAAUAUCUUGUUUUAUUUUCCUCUAAAAUAUUUCCGUUUAUUAUAAGCUAAGCAAAGCUAUUCAUCAUUGGUAGAUAUUUUAGUCAGCUAGAAAUAAUAUUUUCUACAAACAAUUUAGCAACGAAGAAUUUCAGUCUCUUUCGUAAAGAAUUCUCAUAUACUUGCUUGAGAUUAUUAGUUCAUUUUACGUCAAUAAGUGAAUCGAUCUAAUAAUUAAUUAUAGAGAAUAUAAUAAAAUAAGUAAACUUUUGUAUGAAGAGUUGUUUGAAGGAAACUUUUGAUAACGUUGAUGCAUUAAUUCCUUUUAUGUUUGCCGUUUAUAUUGUUAUGACAGAUAAAGUAGAAACUUCUUUUUGCGUGUUGCGGUCCUACCUUUUGUUAUGAUGUAUAAGUACUAACAUAAGUAUAUAGAAUGAUCUAGUGAUUAACCAAAUAAUUAAAGGUCUUGUAAUCAAAAUAUUAUGAAUUCCAACAAGCAAAAAAACAACAGAUGUAACUUUUCUAAGCUUUGCUUGCAAAAGGUAUUUCAAUUUACUAUAAUUAAAUAAAAAAACGUCAUAAGUAUUGGCCCACGUUGGGUGAGUUAAGGUAGUUAUACAAUUAAUCAAUUAAUUAAUUAAUUUCUGAAUUACAAACUGUCAUUAGGUGAAAUAGCUUUUUCACUUUAAUCAAUUAUUAUAUGAUAAAUUAAUCAAAAUAAUAACUACUACAUUCACUUGUUGCAUUCUUGUUUGAUGAGAAAUUGAUUACUCAAUAUUUUACUUGUUGCAUUCUUGUUUGAUGAGAAAUUGAUUGCUCUAUAUUUUAAGUUGGUGAUAGCUAAAAUUAAAAGCAAAAAAAUUGAAAAAGAGAUAUACAUCGUAUGAACCAAAUAUGGAUUUUUUUUAAAAUUUUUUUUAUGGUUGGUGAAGAAUAUAACAAUAACUACAUUAAUGGGGAUUGCAUAUUGAAUAUUGAUAAAUCACCAAGUUAGAAUCAAGAUUAAUACGAGUUCGAUCAAAUUCAAUAACUUUGAUUCUAAUUCAUCACCUUUUUAUGCAUAAUUAUGGCAAAGCUAAAAUUAAGGUCAAAUACGAGUUCGAUCAAAUUUAAUAGCUUUGAUUCAAAUUCAUCACCUUUUCAUGCAUAAUUGCUAGAAAGGUCAGAUAUGAGUUCGAUCAAUUCAAUAACUUUAGUUCAGAUUCAAUAUUUACAUUAACAAAUUCAUUAAACGUAUAUAAAAAUUAAAUUGAGAACACAAAUUAUUUAUACUUGAUAUUGCUAAUUUGAAAUUUAAAAGUUCAAAUUCCGACUCUACCCAUCGUGUUCAAUUAUACAUUCUUGUUUUUGUUGCAACACGUAAGAAACACGAGACUCAUGACAUAGGUGACUUUUUACUUGUCUUAUUUUAGUUUGGUUUAGAGAUAAAGAUGUGACAACCAUAGAACAUCUUUCUCAUUUUAACUAACAACUUCUAAUAAUAAUAAAAGAUCAUAAUAUAAAUGUAUAUUUUUCAUUUGAUAGCUAAGUUAUUUAGUUCACAAAUAAAAAUAAUAAUUGAGGUAUGACACGAAGUUGUGAAAUUUACACAAUGACAAAAUGAGAAUAAUGUCUUAAUAUGAUGAUUGAUGGCAACAUUUCAACUAUGAAGUCCAUCAAUUAGUGUUCCAAUUUUUAUUUUUUAUUUUGUUUUUUCAUCCCAUCUCGAUGUCUGUUACGAUAUAGAUUAAUCCAAAUUCACAUUAAGACAUCACCACUUUGAGAGUAAAACACUCUAUAUUAAAAAGAAAUUAUUUCAAUCUUUUAUUCUCCUAAUUAUUCAAAUUUCAAAUACACUCAGAAAAGGUUAAUAAAAAUAAAAUAAAAUAGAGCCACCCCAUCAAGCCUUAUGUUGAAGCUGGAUGAAUUGACCUCAAUGUAGAUUGAUCUUUAAUUUUAUCUACAAAAAUGAAUUGAUUUUUAAUUUUUGCCUUUUAAUAACUAAACUUACGCCUACUGAAGCAUACAUUCUUUAGAAAUUGAAGUAAAAAAAAGGGUGUGUUUGGUAUGGAGGAAAAUGUUUUCCUAUUUUCUUUUGUUUGAUUGCAACAAAAUGUUGGGAAAACAUUUUCCUAAACGACUUGUUUUCCUAAAAUCAGCGGAAAACGACUUCCGUAACAAGUCUGCGGAAAUCAUUUUCCGGAAAAGAAGUCGACGCGCAACACAAGCGAAUUUCACCCCAGCCUACGCCCUUGCCCACCCUCAAAGGAGCGCUGUUUCUCCAUUAUUUCUCCAGCUUGUUCCUCUCCAAAUUUAGGGUUUCCAUUGUUGUUCUUCUCAUUCAUAUUCCUGUAAGAAUUUCGAAGGUAUGCUUUCAAUAAUUCUUCAAAAUAUUCAUCUUUCACUUGCUUUUCUGCUGAAAUACUUGCUCAUGUGUUUGAAUUUGACUUUACUUGGUGAAUUUAUGCAUUGGAUUCGAUAUUUUUUGGUAAAUCUAUGAAUUGUGGCCUUUUGCUUUCGAUAAGGAUGAGCAAGCAUGUGUUUCAUUGUACUAUGCACAGUUGAAAUAUGUGUGUGGUGUACAGAGAUGAGCAACUGUGCACAAUAAUGUGAAAAACUUCAAGUCUCAACUGUAUAGUGUUAGCUAGAAGCAUGUACUAAUGUAUGGCACGCUGUUUUCAAGUUAUUUUUUGAUUAAAACGACAGUUCGAUACAUAAAAUAUAUUCAUCGUAAAAUUAGAGAUCUUAUUCUAAAGGAUUAUUUGAUAGUGUGUGUAGAAAUAAUAGAAAAAUAUCAAGAUCUAGUGGGGAGGGGUUGGGGGUGAAAGAGCAUAGAAAAUUAUUUCCCUAAAAAAAUUCCUUACUCACCAACCAAACAAUAGAAAUUGUUUUCCGGAAAAUAUUUUCCACUCACUAACCAAACAUAAGAAAACAAGUUAAAAAUCAACUUGUUUCCAAGAAAACAUUUUCCAGGAAAACAUUUUCCUUCAUACCAAACACACCCAAAAUGUAACUUGAGAAAUUUCAUAAUACGAAAAAUAUAUACUUAUAUCCCGUAAAAAAGUUUUUUUUAUUAACGAGGAACAUAAAUUAAAAACCAACACAAAGUAAAGGCCAUAAGUACCAAUAGGCAAUGACCCUUUCAAAAUGGUUAUAAACGAAACUAUGGAUCGGCCAAAUGAAUAUGACUCUUAUGCUUUGGCCCAUUUAGCCCAUCACAUUCAUCAAAUUUCCUUAGCCCAUUUGUCAGACGAAUUCAACCCGAACACCUAUUGCUCCGCCGCUCGGAGCACACUAGUCGCCGGUCGACGAUCGCCGCCCGUCGCCGCCACCGUAAGUAUUUUUACUGUCUACUUAGUUUCUGAAUUUGUGAAGUCUUAUUAUAGUUUUUCUCUGUUACAGCUGAAAUUAUGGGCUCAGAGAUGGAAGUAGUUGAGCAGAGGCUAAAUACUUUUGUAAGUCAGCUCCAGACAGAGUUUGCCAUUCUCGAUCGUCUCGUUUACAAAAACAAAAACCAGCAUAGAAGAUGCUCAUAUUUUCAGUACCUCUUAAAGGUUGUAUGUUUACCAAUAUUUCUUCAUAUAUGCAUGUGUAAUGAGCUUAUUCUCGUAGUUUCUUGUCUUACGAUUUCUGUUAUUAUUCGUUGUUUCAUGUGCUUCGGUUAUCACAUUAUUUGGCUACUGCUAUUGUUCCUUGUCUUUACUUCUGUUUGAUAUGUGUUACUUGAACCAAUGGUCUUUUAGAAACAACCUCUUAGCUUUGUGUUCCUUGAGUAUGUUUCUGCCCUAAACUAAGAAACAGUAUAGUGCUCGUUUUGAUAAGAGUAUUGCAUACUAUCUGCUGGAAUGUUUUCAAUGUCCCCCUUAUGCAACUAUGGGAAUUUCUUCUAGUUCGCUAACUGUCUUUUACUACGGUUCACGUCUGUCCUUGAACUGACCAAAAAGCUUUCUAUUUGAAUGGAAUUCCACAAUUGCAUAAGAUUCGGUCUUGAACGAUUAUACUUUUGGUUAAUUGGUUAGGUGUCGAUAGCAACAUAACCUUUGCUUUGGUCUAUACAAUGCGUAGGGGUAAAGGUCUGUGUACAUACUAACCUCCUCAGACCUCACCUAUGGCAUUAGACUGGGUAUGUUGUUGUUGUAGUGGGCCUUGCUUUGUUUAAACACAAAGAACUAUCAUAGAAGAUGUUCCUAUUUCCAAUACCCCUCAAAGGUUGUUACCAAGGUUUAUUCAUGUAUAUAUAUUAUCUGCAUAGGGGGUAUUGAUGGGAUUUGCUUUUUGUCCUAAGUGCAAUGCUUACUUUAUAUGUUUGUUUUGAUGAUACUAUUAGGUGCGAAGAGAUGUGAGACUCCUCCAAACAGCUAACUUGGAGGAGGUUUUGAGUGCCUCCUUUCAAGUUCUUAACGGAAAAAGACCCAAGCAAAAAGUGCAGCUUUUGGGAAGGUACUUUAGACCCCUUUAAAGUACCUACAUUUUGUUUUAAGGUUUUUAUUAUUAUAGUUUUUGUAGUGAUCAUAUGCCAAGUUUUGGAAUUUUGAUUACAUCAUAAAUGUAUACCACCUUUUCAUAUCUGUCAAUGAGUAAAUUUUGAUUGGAGAUGAGCGCUCCUCAUACUCUUGCAUUUUUCUACUCUUAUAUUGAUGUCUACCACUUUCUGUCAGUGAAACAAUUGAACAGACCUAUAGGGAAGCUUACUGAAAUUGCCUUCCUUACAUAUAUGAUUGUUAUCAAUAAUCAUCAAUCUCUUUGUAUUGUUUGCAAGUGCAAAUGUUUGCUGAUUAUGAUGUUUGAAUGUUGCCUGGCUCUACCAUUUGUUUAAUUAAAUAGUCUACCAUCAUGUUGUUAAAAAUUGUUGUUUAUGUGACCUAUAACAAUAUUUUUGCAAGUUUUAUCCAUCAUUUCAUUAACCGACAUAUUGGAGGGUAAUACUCUAACCAGUAACAAGCGAGAUUAGUUUUACUGAUCCCACUGUCAUGGAAAUAGAAUUGCCAUUAUUUAUGUCUUGCUCUUCCAUUAAACUAUACAUACAAACUUUCACUGCCGCUUUCUAACUUAUGAUGAUUUUAUAUAUAUUGAACUUUCACCCUCAUUUUCUAUUGACCUCAGCCUAAAGAGGAGAAGAUCUAAUGGUGGCAAAUAUAACUUUCUGGAGCGUCUUUCAGGGGUUGCACACCUGUUGUCUCAGGUAUCAUUGUUUCUUUUGUUCAUACUUCUUGUUGUUCAACCACUCAUCCAAGUCUGUAAAGUAACUCAUGAUAAUGAAUCGCCAGUCUCAGUUUACCAUGUUAGCGAAAUCUCCUGCUAGCAUUUACUGGCAAUACGCCCUAGUUUUCAUUUAUAAAAAGGGUAGUCCGGUGCAUGAAGCAUUAUACAUUCACGUUGGAACUUGGAAAGGGUCGUACUCGCACCCCUUAAUGUAGGCAGUCUAUCCGGAUGCAAGCUUUAGUGGUUGAUUCCAGGGCUCGAACCUUGUCACAUGGAGAAAACUUAUCAUUGCUCCAAGGAACGUUUACCAGUAGAAAAUAUAGAUGACUUCUAUUUAGAGUACCUAAGGUAUUGAAUAGAGACGAGUCUUAAUGGAAUAAUAGGAUUCAUGUAGCUGACUCUAAUUCACCUAGGAUUGAAUCGAUUGAGGCAUAGUUAUUAUUAUUCCAUAUAACUACAGGAAUGGUGAUUUCUCUCUCUCUCUAUUGAAUCAAGUGUCUUAACAUACGGGGCUUAAUAAGAAUCAUAUUACAACAAGGAAAACUUGAAGUCAUCAUUUUAUGAAGUAGUAAUUCCUAAUUCACUUGUUCUUUCUUGCAGAUGGUUGAGCCAAUGUUAAGGGCCGCUGCGUAUCCUUCUUGCUUUUUUUUUUAUUGCAUAUUAAUACUUCCUUUUAUAUGUUGAUUAUGGGAUAAGAUUCACUUAUGGAAAUUGAUGGCCAUUAAUGCCAUUGGUGAUUUCCUUUUAGACUUUUAAAUCUUUAAGUAAUAGGAAGAGCAGAGCUUGAGUUGUUCAUUUUCUUUCAUAAUUCUUAGGGUGUGUAGGUGAUUGGAGUAAAAUCAGGGUGUUUUUGUAAACACCGUGAGUGCUUACUUAUGUGCAUAUAGCAAACCUUUUCUGUUCUUCAAAUUACUAGAUUUUUGCACAGCUAAUUCUCUGUAAACAUAUCGGUUUGAUAAAUUGGUGUAGUUGGAUAUUUAUUGUACCUCCUUUCUUCCUUUUUAUUUUCCAUUUCUUCAUAAUUUCAUAUGUAUAGUCUUUGUCUCAUUUGUAGGUUGACUUUGUUUUUCACCUUGUGCGGAUUGCUUUUCAUUUCAAAGUAGACACUCAAUCAUUGUGCCUGUUUAAUGCAAAUUCCAAUGUGGAUUGUUAGCCAUGUAUGAUUGUUUUUUACCCUUAACAGUAGACAGGGAGAUAUCAACACUUCUUGCACGAUCAUUUUUUAUGGGAUUUUCACUGACAGUAUUGUCCUUGCUUGCCCGAAUUAGAGUUCUAGUUCAGCAAGUAAGCAUUCUCAGGAUAAUUUUAUCAUUUUCUGAAGUGUGAAAUGUUAUGUGAACUCAUGAAGAAUGGCACCAUUUUAAAGCUCAUUCCUUAGUCAUACUUAUAAUAAUAAAGGUCUUGCACAUGGAUUGUGUUCUUUUGAAAUUUGAGUUUGUUGAAGUUCUAGUUUCCAGUAGAAUACACUGGAGUCAUGGUAAUUUCUGGAGCUUAUUAUAUAGAGAAACUAAUCUAAUUCAAGAGGGGAAUGGGUCAUGUAUGACCUGAGAAUUUUGCUCUUUUAGAGCAUGCAAUAUUUAAGGAAUUGAAAAGCUUAUGUCGAGCAAAUUUCCUUAGGAUUUCUGGUAAUUGAAUAGGAAAUUCUAAGCAAAUUUUCUUUGUUCAUUGCAGAUGCUUCUUGAUGUUGUUUGUGUAUUCAACAAUGUCUCCUCUUUAUCUCAGAGGGAACAAGCCAUAAAAUUGACUCAAGAUGGAUUUGAGGUUUUUUCUUUGCUACUGACUGCUCUCUGUUUUUCUGAUGCAAUGCAGUAAAUUAUUUCCUUCCUUAUACUCCCUUUGUUUACUUGCUUUUUUGAUUGGUUAAAUUUGUUCUGUUAAUGUCAAGAAAUGGUUGGAAAAUUUAUGAGAAUUAUUCUUCUCACAAGUCCAAUGAUGAGAUAGGAAAAUUGAUAGUACUUCCUUGAUAGUUGUUAAUAACAACUCUAAGAUGAAAUCAAAGAAGCAAAUGCUCAAUAAUUUGUGCAUUGCAGGUUUUUAGAGAAUACUUUCCGCCAAAGCAGCAGGUGAUCUUCCUCGAAUGUAUAUGGGAAUCUGAUAAGUAUAUUUUAGUUGAGAGACAAAAUCAGAAAGAUGUCGGAAGCCAGGAAAAGGAGGUUGGAGAAGAUGUUUCUGUAGAAGCAUCUAAGGUUCAGUAUGAAAGCAUUGAGCUUUUCCUAGGAGGUAACCAUGUACCACAAUUUCUUUUUUACUGUCUUGUUUUCUUUAUCAAGUCAUUCUAUCAGUCUGAGAUAGAAGUGAACUCAAGGUUGCACGUGAUGAUUCCAUUGGACAUAGUAAUAUCCAGAGUUUUUCUGUUUGCCAGUUUUUAUCAUUAAAAAAGACAGCCCAAUGCACGAAACAUCCGGUGUUCACAUAGGACUUGGGGAAGGGCCAUAUACCCAGGGGAUGUAGUGUAGGCAGCGUACCUGACACCAGUUUUAGUCAUUCAGUUUGACAAUAAAGUUCAUGGAAGAAGUGUCUGUUGCAUAUCUUUCUAGUGUAUUCAUAUAUCUAGUGCUUCUUACUCCCUACGAUGAAGUUCUUCAUUUGUUGCUGAAAUCCAGUGUUAUUCGUCUAUAAUUUGGUACGUAACUUUUUCUGGGGUCUUGUGUAGAUGACAAACCUGGACAGACGGCCUCUAAAGAUUCGGCUGAGGAUGGUCAAACUAUAAAGGACAACGAUAUAGUAGAUUCCUUGGAGGAUCCUAUCCAAGAUAGUAAUGAUGAAUCUCGAGCUCAAGUUGAUUCAACUAUUGCAGGACCUUCAGGCAAUAAUUUUGAUACUCCUGAAGCCGGAGCACUUCCAAGUACAUCACCCGACAAGAAUCCUGCCAAAGCCAAACACGGAUCAAGAAAUAGUGUUGCAUUUGUUUCAGUGAAAAGACCCAAAGUGUCAACAAACAAUGAGUUGGGGUUUGAUAUUCAUAGAACAGAAAAGGGUGAUAAUUCUGGUGUAGAUAAAGAAGAUCCAUUUUUCAGUUUACUUUUUAGUGGAAAUGUGAAGACCAGUCUAUUCUGAACUUCACCUAAAUAGUUUUUCAUUUCUCCUUGUUUUUCUCUGUUAACUAUGCCGCGGCGCAUCUUUGCGUCCAUAUUUGUGAGUUGAUGCUCAAUAAUGUCCAAAUUUGGACAAUUUAUCCAAAUUGGUUUUAAAUUUUUAGAGUUGAUGCUCGAUCAUGUCCUUUUUUGAGGGUAGGAAGAAAUUUGGAGCAUCUGUGGGAGCUGAAAAUGAAAUGGAGUUUGUUUCUCUUAACACAGUGAAGAACUCAACUGUUAACAGUAUUAACACUUUCCAGAGAGCUUACAAGCCAGCAAACAGGUAUUAAUUUAAUGAACACUAAUAUCAUGUACCAAAUAAGGCAUCUACUAAGUAAACAAAAAUACAGAAGAAAAUCCUUCAUCAAAUAAAUGUUAAUGAUUCCAACAUGCUAUUUGAAUUUCAUAAAGUAAAACACUUGUAUCAAACUGAGGUGAACUAAGCUAGACCCAAGAUGCUGCUGAAGCCUUCUCAUUCUUGUCUUUGUUUUACACACAAAUCAAAAUGCCAAAAUUCUAACCAAUGCCUCGGAUUUAUGGGUUGCUGUAUUGUAUGACUCUCCUCCAUCCAGCUGUUGAUUCUGUUCCAAUAGUGUCUCUGAAAAUUGCGACAUGGUAUGAAUUUUCAAUUUUACUCUGUUAUGUAAGAAACAACUACAGUGAUGUCGUCCAGCUUCCCACCAUGGUAAUCAAAUCCAGACUCACGAGCUCCAUCAGAGAAAGGCGAAGACUUAGUAUGAUCCAUUGCUCUUAGCUGUGCCAGUUCUGCUAUCCGCUGAGCAGUCAUCUGAGGCCCUAAGCCAGCUUCCAUGGCCUGAAAUACAACUCCACUGAUAUCUUCGUCAUACAAAUUAUCAAAAAGCCCAUCUGUACCAACAAUUAGGACAUCUCCAGGUACAACAGUAAUGUUGAACACCAUGGCAGAGCUAGGUGAAUCACCCGCGUUAUUGCAAUCUAGUUGAUAUGGGAAAUUAAACCCAUGCUGUUGUGAAGGGGAUUUAAAUGCAGCACAUCCAUUUCUAACCAACAUAAAUCCGCUAUCUCCUAAAUUAACUGCAUAAAGACCUCCUUCAGUGAGUGCAACGAUACACGCUGUAGAAGAGCCUUUUGCUUUUGUUCUCACGUAAGCUUUCUCCAGCACCCUGAUUAGGUCUACAGAACCUUUUGGCUCAUCUUGAAUUGCAGAUAAAGAGUGAGACAUCAAUUCACGGGCAUAUAGUCCAGCAUCAAUACCAAGAUCAGCCCAUCCACCAACACCAUCAGCUACACCAAUUGCUGGUGUAAGGGUACAAAUAAAAUGAGCAUCCUCUCCACCAGUUUUUGCUUUAGCAGGAUGAGGUAGGUAAAAAGAUCCCGAGUUUAGCUGCAAGGAGAUCUUUGCUUCAGAAGAAUUAACAACAUCUACAACUUGUUCUGUGCCCUUGGAAUUAUCAGAAGACACAUUAGAAGCAGAGGCAGUUCCAGAAAAGAAACAUUCGUGGGAUAAAUUGCGAAAACCUUCCAAUCCAAAGCCUUUGUGUGGGUUGAGGUUAGUCCUCCUCUUUGCAACAUUAGUCGUGAAAUAUUGGUAAAGCAUGAAGUUAUUGGGCCGUCCUUUGUUUCCCAAACUGAUGUUAGCUUUACUAACAUUUUGAAAGCCUCUUUUGUUGUAAGAAACAGUACAACUCUUUACUGACAAACUACACUGCAGGCGCCUAGCAGUCAUAUUGCCAACGAAAUGGCCAAUAUGAGUCCUUGAACCACAAACAGCCAUUAUGCCUUUCUGAGUAUCAAUAACAAAAGUAGCUCGGGAAGCAGCAAACCUUCAAGUGCAGAGUUCUGCAAAACCACGGAAGGAAACAACAUGAGGUUACAUAAGUAGAUUGCAUUUUCUUCUUUUUAAUGGACAUAGUAGAUAAAGCAAUCUGACAAAGCAAGACACACAUAACACAAGCUCCUAUAUCUCCCCUUCAAUUAAUCUUAUAAACAAAAAUUUAUACUGAGGAGAUUGUGUUAUCAUGUGCAGGCUAGAAAGUGCAAGUUGUAAAGCUUGGCAAAUAAAACCUAUUAACUUGGAAACAAAAACGUCACACGAAACACGAAUAUCAAGAAAAUUGACUCAGUCAAAUUACGAACUAAAAGCACAUUCAUGAAUACAAAAUUCCGGGGAGCUCAUUAGCAGCCAAAAGUUGCAAAAGAACUUUCCAAAGUGGAACUAUUCCGACAAUAAGCUUAAAGGCAACAAGAAAACUGUCAACAGUCAACGAAAGAGUGUGACACAGUGAGGCAGCGACAGAUAAUCAAUCGUUAAGGGGCCUGAAGGAGAACUUAGAAUUUCAAUUGGUUUUUCUUCUCAAUCUCUAUGUGGAAUUCUUGAACAAAAAAUCAGAAGAAAAAAUUUACACCCUAUUUUUAUCACAAGUUAAUUUUGAGCUUUGUUAUCUGGGGUACGCCAAAAAUGAUGUAGUAACUCAACUACGCAUGCCUGUAGUGUAGUUGACCCCCCCCCCGCACACACACACGCCAAUAACUUAAUACUAUCAACUAUGCCUGAAUCCCAAAUUAGUUGACCACAAAACAAAAGUGGGUUUUGAGAAUAUCACCCUUAUUCUUUUCCAAUAAACGUGGUACCUAGGCCAGCUUGCGCAUAACUCAACUAACUCCAAACCAGUAAAAGUAUCAUGUGACUCUGGCAUAAAUUGAUUGGUUCCACUCUGGAGUUUAAGGAACUUUUCAUACUUGUUUAUUUUCAAAAUUACAACUUCAAACAGUUAAGAGUGGUUAGAGUCUCUCACUGGUUGGGGAACAAACGGGUAAUGAACCAGGGGUCUGUUUAUAUGGAUUUGGGAGAUCCUCCCUUCAUUAGCUAGCUUUAGGGGUUGAGUUAGGCCUACCUGUCAUAUCCAUCUUUGUUUAGGCUCUCAGUCCACGCUCCAGUUGGUCUGUUUAACACUUCCACAGAUGUGAAAAAAUUACCUAAUAUUUUUUACUCCGCUACGAUUUGAACAUCAGACCUCAUGAUUCCUGACCCAUUCAUUGACCGCUAGACCACACCCUCCGAUUAAAUGUCACCCUUAUUCUUGUCAAAUCAGCACAGUAUAUAAUUAACAGAUAAGAGCACACUAGAAGGAAACAAAAAAUGCUGAAAGAAAUUCAAGAAAAGACCUUCUGAGUAAUACAAUGAGGGAAUUGGGAUUUGAGGUUAGUCCUCCUCUUUGCAACAUUAGUCGUGAAAUAUUGGUAAAGCAUGAAGUUAUUGGGCCGUCCUUUGUUUCCCAAACUGAUGUUAGCUUUACUAACAUUUUGAAAGCCUCUUUUGUUGUAAGAAACAGUACAACUCUUUACUGACAAACUACACUGCAGGCGCCUAGCAGUCAUAUUGCCAACGAAAUGGCCAAUAUGAGUCCUUGAACCACAAACAGCCAUUAUGCCUUUCUGAGUAUCAAUAACAAAAGUAGCUCGGGAAGCAGCAAACCUUCAAGUGCAGAGUUCUGCAAAACCACGGAAGGAAACAACAUGAGGUUACAUAAGUAGAUUGCAUUUUCUUCUUUUUAAUGGACAUAGUAGAUAAAGCAAAGUGACAAACCAAGACACACAUAACACAAGCUC